GUUGAUUAUUAUCCUUAUUUUGAUAAAGCAUGAUCAAUUAUUGAAUCUGAAUUCUUGAUAUGAACCAGUAUAUAUUUUGAAUUGAAUUCUGAAUUGAUAGCUCCUCAUUUGAUUGAUGUCAUGAGUUGAGCCUUGAGAUAUGAAUAUGUCUGUUUGAUUAUGAUUAUGAACCUAUGGUAUGUUAGUCAGAAUACUCAUGCUAACAGGGUAGUGUUAGUCUUUGUGCACAUCGUAUUUGAACCCUAGUUGGUCGGGGGAGUCACCAACCUGUGUGGACUGAUCAUCCCACAGUACGGAGCCUCAUGCUCAUUGCAUUUUGAUUUUCUGACGAGUUUUACCAUAUGAUCUUCUUGUUAUGGCCAAUUUGAGAACACUUCCAUAAGAACCUAAAGCCAUACUUGUAUAUAUAUUUCUCAUUGCUGUAUUACCUCGUGUGUGUAUAUUGAACGUUAUCUACUCACUGAGUUGUUGAACUCACCAUCUCAUUAUUUAUCCUUUUCAGGCUUAUAGCUUGAUAGCAGGUC
RNAcentral lists this long non-coding RNA (524 nucleotides) under Populus trichocarpa (black cottonwood). RNAcentral describes it as "long non-coding RNA (PTRI_LNC001950)". The record is from RNAcentral. Lineage: Eukaryota; Viridiplantae; Streptophyta; Magnoliopsida; Malpighiales; Salicaceae.